Molecule: ribosomal RNA, 784 nt
Filed under: uncultured Mycobacterium sp.
Lineage: Bacteria; Bacillati; Actinomycetota; Actinomycetes; Mycobacteriales; Mycobacteriaceae
Description: bacterial SSU rRNA
Rfam family: Bacterial small subunit ribosomal RNA
Source: RNAcentral
AGCUCGUAGGUGGUUUGUCGCGUUGUUCGUGAAAUCUCACGGCUUAACUGUGAGCGUGCGGGCGAUACGGGCAGACUUGAGUACUGCAGGGGAGACUGGAAUUCCUGGUGUAGCGGUGGAAUGCGCAGAUAUCAGGAGGAACACCGGUGGCGAAGGCGGGUCUCUGGGCAGUAACUGACGCUGAGGAGCGAAAGCGUGGGGAGCGAACAGGAUUAGAUACCCUGGUAGUCCACGCCGUAAACGGUGGGUACUAGGUGUGGGUUUCCUUCCUUGGGAUCCGUGCCGUAGCUAACGCAUUAAGUACCCCGCCUGGGGAGUACGGCCGCAAGGCUAAAGCUCAAAGAAAUUGACGGGGGCCCGCACAAGCGGCGGAGCAUGUGGAUUAAUUCGAUGCAACGCGAAGAACCUUACCUGGGUUUGACAUGCACAGGACGCCGGCAGAGAUGUCGGUUCCCUUGUGGCCUGUGUGCAGGUGGUGCAUGGCUGUCGUCAGCUCGUGUCGUGAGAUGUUGGGUUAAGUCCCGCAACGAGCGCAACCCUUGUCUCAUGUUGCCAGCGGGUAAUGCCGGGGACUCGUGAGAGACUGCCGGGGUCAACUCGGAGGAAGGUGGGGAUGACGUCAAGUCAUCAUGCCCCUUAUGUCCAGGGCUUCACACAUGCUACAAUGGCCGGUACAAAGGGCUGCGAUGCCGCGAGGUUAAGCGAAUCCUUUUAAAGCCGGUCUCAGUUCGGAUCGGGGUCUGCAACUCGACCCCGUGAAGUCGGAGUCGCUAGUAAUCGCAGA